AUAUGCCUCUUAACAAACUUUCAACAACUUUCAACCUCCAUAGUCUCAUCCUUGUCUUCUUUUUUAUCUUUCUUUAUAGAUAUAUCAUCCAAAAAUGGUAUGGUUUUUUUGAGAAUAAAUUCUUUCAAUAUUUGAUUUAUAGCAUUUUGUAUAUGAGCCACUAAAUUGGUUGCACCUUGAGGUAAGGUAUACAUUUUCAUUAAAUCCAAAGGAUUCUUCAUGGAGUUA
This 228-nucleotide long non-coding RNA is filed under the name Physcomitrium patens. RNAcentral's name for it is "long non-coding RNA (PPAT_LNC010472)". The record is from RNAcentral. Lineage: Eukaryota; Viridiplantae; Streptophyta; Bryopsida; Funariales; Funariaceae.